CCCAAAAUCGUUGUACGACAAAGCAUCACCAUGGAAGGUCCAGAAUCAAUGUUCUAUCGUAAAAAAUGUUUUUUAUCUUGACUGUAUCCAAACCUGCUAACGAAAAUACAUGUAGCCUACAGUAAAGUGCAGUAAAUGCAAUUUUAAAUGUCCAGUGGGGGCGUUGUAGUAAACCAUCAUCAAAUAAACAAGCUUUGAUGCAAAAGACAGAAGGUAAUGCAUUAUGCAUCAUACAUGCAAAUAGUAAAAUAGCUGUAAAAUCCAUCACAUAAGCCUAUUAUAAAAUAUAUUCGGAGAGUCUGAAUUGCACAUCAGAUUCGGUCAGGCCAUUACUUUGAUUAUUUCCCUGAAGAGAUGAAUUCCAACUGCAUCUUUCAGCCGCGGUCCAUUCCAGAGAGCAACGUCCAGAAGGACAGCUUCGAUAAUCAACACUUGAUAAGCAUGAUGAUCCCCAACGAGACCUACAGCAGUGGUAUUCUGCAUCCCGCUACCUCAACAACACUUUGGCGCCAGGAAAAUCACUCCCCGAAUAUGGGCUAUUACGGCCAUGGCAUGGCUCCCAGCUCACCAUCAGGUUCCCUGAAUAUGUCAAGUCCGGUCGAUUACAAUAGUUAUUCGCCACAGGAGUCUUACUCUUCGUCGUGUUACAACUCUCCGACGAGGCUGGACUUGAGUUAUGGGUUUGUUCCAGAGCACUACCACUACCAGAACUGCAACCUCCAGGAGAGCGUCUCCACUCCAGAAUACGCACCUUAUGGCACAUCAGACUAUGUAUACGCCUUGCCUGCGGAGGACAGCUACUUCAGGCGUGAUUUGUCAAAUUCAGAGAUGUGCUACCUUUGAAUAUUUAUUCGGUCUUUGUUGUCUGUGUAAAUACAGUAUAGUGUACAGUCAAAACAAUGUCUGUAACUCGAUGUCAAACGUUGACACUUGUGGCACUUGUUUUGAGAUGUAGGCCUGCUUUGCAUUUCAGAGUGUUUGCGGUCGAAGUUUCCUCCGAGUGUCUGUUUUUGAUAUGAUUGGAAUAAUGGUUUUAGAAUUCCCGAGAUUGGAUAAAUGUUGGAUAUGUGUGGGCUUAGUGCUAUCUUCUUAGUUAUUGACUUUGAUAUUUAAGCAAUAAGGCACGAGGGGGUGUGGUUUAUGGUCAAAAUACCACGGCCAAGGGCUGUUCUAAUCUCGAUGCAACGCGGAGUGCCUGGAUAUUGGCCAUAUACCACAAAUGCCCUAGGUGCCUUCAUGCUAUUAUGAACUGGUUACCAACAUAAUUAGAGCAGUAAAAAUAAAUGUUUUGUCAUACCAAUGGUAUAGGGUCUGAUAUACCACGGCUGUCAGCCAAGCAGCAUUCAGGGCUUGAACCAAGUUUAUAAAUAUAUAUAUACAAUUCUAAUGAUGUCAUCCUGCUUUUUUACAAGACAGUAUAUUUUUUCAGCAUAUUUUUUCUUAUGGAUGCAUUCAUUUUGUAAAUGAAUUGAAAAGCCUACCCAAAGGAAAUUAGCAGCAUCAUCCCCUUCAACUCACUAUUUAGUUUCCCUGUGCAGAUGCACACCGAUGCUUAGUUAGAAACAUUAACUUAAAUAGAUCAAUCAUUCAAAUAAAAGUGUCUAAUAAACCAAGAUAAAUUACAAUAGACAAACGGUAAUGAUCUAGAAUUUUUUAUAGUGCUUGUCAUUGCAAAAAUAAUCUCAAAACCCACUGACAAAAGAAGAAAAACAAAACAAUAAGGUUAACAUUGACCGCUCUUGAUGUGGAAAAAUGAUCUUCCAUGGAGGCAGACGCAAGUGCACGUCGCAUCAGGUCACAUCCAACUCAAGAGACGCCUGUCUCCACUCUACCCUCCUUGCACACCAUCCUCUGCCUCGGGAUCCAAGUCUCCUCCGAGGCCGAGAUAAAGCGGGGUUGAGCAGGGAUAGAAGUAGGCCUGCCUGUCCAAAAUGAUCAUAUUGUUACAUAUUACCAAAAACACGCAC
RNAcentral lists this long non-coding RNA (1967 nucleotides) under Salmo salar (Atlantic salmon). Its description in RNAcentral is "lncRNA (ENSSSAG00000114137.1)". Lineage: Eukaryota; Metazoa; Chordata; Actinopteri; Salmoniformes; Salmonidae. The record is from RNAcentral.